This 253-nucleotide ribosomal RNA is filed under the name uncultured bacterium. RNAcentral describes it as "partial 16S ribosomal RNA". It matches the Rfam family "Bacterial small subunit ribosomal RNA", at positions 524 to 776 of the family's 1533-position model. The record is from RNAcentral.
UACGGAGGGGGCUAGCGUUGUUCGGAAUUACUGGGCGUAAAGCGCGCGUAGGCGGACCUGCAAGUCGGGGGUGAAAGCCCGAGGCUUAACCUCGGAACUGCCUUCGAUACUGCGGGUCUCGAGUCCGGGAGAGGUGAGUGGAAUUCCUAGUGUAGAGGUGAAAUUCGUAGAUAUUAGGAAGAACACCAGUGGCGAAGGCGGCUCACUGGGCCGAUACUGACGCUGAGGAGCGAAAGCGUGGGGAGCGAACAGG